This 443-nucleotide ribosomal RNA is filed under the name uncultured bacterium. Its description in RNAcentral is "partial 16S ribosomal RNA". It matches the Rfam family "Bacterial small subunit ribosomal RNA", at positions 338 to 795 of the family's 1533-position model. The record is from RNAcentral.
CCUACGGGGGGCAGCAGUGGGGAAUAUUGGGCAAUGGGCGCAAGCCUGACCCAGCAACGCCGCGUGAAGGAAGAAGGCCCUCGGGUUGUAAACUUCUUUUGUCAGGGACGAAACAAAUGACGGUACCUGACGAAUAAGCCACGGCUAACUACGUGCCAGCAGCCGCGGUAAUACGUAGGUGGCAAGCGUUAACCGGAUUUACUGGGUGUAAAGGGCGUGUAGGCGGGAUGGCAAGUCAGAUGUGAAAUUCCAGGGCUCAACCCUGGAACUGCAUUUGAAACUGGUUUUCUUGAGUGAUGGAGAGGUAGGCGGAAUUACGUGUGUAGCGGUGAAAUGCGUAGAUAUACGGAGGAACACCAGUGGCGAAGGCGGCCUGCUGGACAUUAACUGACGCUGAGGCGCGAAAGCGUGGGGAGCAAACAGGAUUAGAUACCCGGGUAGUC